GAGCCGAGCCGUGAGCCGAGGCCAAGCCGAGCCGAGCCGAGAGUGAGCCGAGCCGAGCCGAGCCACCUAAGCCUUCCUCCCUCCACUUCGGGUCACGGUAGUAAGGAGUUGACGCUUAAGUUCUCGGAUCUCGCGGCAGGCUUGUUUGGAGAUAGCUUUCCUUUCCUUGGGUUGAUCCGUUGAGCGUGGAUUCGAUCGAGGGGCAUAACCGAGUAUUCAAAUUGGGAUUUUAUGUUGAUGGACCUUGAAGUUACGGUUCAGUAUGUAGUAAUCAUUGGUCUGGAUGUUGAUCAUGGAGUUUGGACGGGGAAGGACAGUGAG
Molecule: long non-coding RNA, 321 nt
Organism: Cucumis melo (muskmelon)
Lineage: Eukaryota; Viridiplantae; Streptophyta; Magnoliopsida; Cucurbitales; Cucurbitaceae
Exons: 4
Source: RefSeq, a predicted model, not a curated record